RNAcentral lists this long non-coding RNA (3859 nucleotides) under Sus scrofa (pig). RNAcentral's name for it is "lncRNA (ENSSSCG00000052976.1)". Lineage: Eukaryota; Metazoa; Chordata; Mammalia; Artiodactyla; Suidae. The record is from RNAcentral.
GAGACCCCGUGACCACCAUUGAGCCUACCCCUCCACAGCGGAGAAAAUUAGACGUUAUGCUCUCCAGAGUGACUUGGAGAAGAGGAAAAGGAAGGUGGCGACCACACCCAGUUAGCAAAGGAGCACUGUCACUUCAGCUGCGCCCGAGUUCUGGCUUCUGAAAGCUGCCUUGAUCCGUGCUCCUGAAAGCUCCUACCCUCCCAAGGGACCAGGAUGCGGCAUCCCCCCCCCCCAAACACACACAGUGUCUUCUAGCGCCUCCUGAGUGUGCCUCUGAGAUGUUUUGAGAUAAAGCAAAGAUCCUUCCCCUGUCUGUCCAAGAAUGGUAUCCAGAGAAGUGUGCAGAGCUAGUGCUCAUGUCAGCAGGGAUCCAAAGCAGAGGUGACCACGAUCUGGAGGUAGGGACAGCAGGAAAGUAACAAGGUCUUCCCCAUGCUACCUAACAGGCAUGACUCACCUGUUCUCUAGGACUACCUGUAACUUUAGAGAAUGUUUUCUUUAGGAAAACUUGGGGAGAUUUGUGGCAUGCAUUUCCAGCAACAGGGUAGGGUCCGUCCCAGGGAACAGAGCCUCCCUUUCCAACAGGGUCAUCUGGGUCUGGAAACUGGAUGAGAAGAUGUGACUUUCCCUGGGGGAGCUCAAGUCAGGUGCUGGGCUCCCAGACUAGAGCGUUUAGGGUUAUACACAUAAAGCAGGGCUGUAGCAGGCUGCCCAACUAUUGCCUUCCUAGAGGCACUGCAGUCUUUUCAGACUGCUCUAAUGGCUUUCUCAAUGUCUCGAUGAAAAAGCUGCUUCUGGACCUAUCCGUGGAAUAUAGUUAGGACGUGGGGUGUUCAGGUCUAAUACGCUGAAUCUACUCCAAAAUUCCUCUCUCCCUAAGCUUUUGGAUUCUGUACUCCAUCUCCUGCCAGAUCAGUUCUGGAACAAGAAUCAUGAAAUGCAGAGGUCAUCAGUAGGUCCACCUUGCAGUCACCAACCCUGUGAUACGCUAGAUUGCUUUUCUCUGGCCAAUCGCCACCCCCACUAUGAGGAAGUUCCUGGGCCAGGGAUCAAACCUCUGCCACAAACAGCCACCCAAGCUGCUUCACACAGCACCAGAUUCUUAGCCUGCUGUGCCACAAGAGGACUCGAUGAUAAUACUUUCAAUCUGAAACCUUGAGUAAGUACAUUUCUGUCCUUUAAUCCAUGCCAGUGAGUGGCAUAGCUCACCUACUGAGUUGACCACCCUGAGGCUCCACUACCAUAAAUGUUCAAGGAGGAUUUGUUGGUAGAUAUCAAUGAAGCCUGGAAAAUAUUUCUUGAUGUAUGAGCUAUUUUCUCCAGGGUCGGACUUUGUAAAUGCACCCAUGGAUCCUGCUGGGAAUGGAGUCCAGUUAGGGGUCUAAUGGCAACACGGCGUGGCUGCAGAGGGUCUGGAGGACAACAAGUGGCCCCUCGCAGGUAUUCCGCACAGGGGAGCUAAGGACACGGUCCUUAAGGGAGAGAACACCAGCCCGCCACGCCACACGUGGGAGGGCAGGCUGCUUCCACCAGCAAGGCAGGCUCGGGGGGACCGGGGGCUUCCCGAUGGCCAGCGUUAGCUGAGGCCAACCAGGCAGUCCCGGAGCCACGUUUCAGGGUCCCACGCCUCCAGCCGCUGCCGACCCCUGUUCACAUAAGAAAGGCGGAGAGGCUGAGAACUCAGCUGACUCUGGCAUUCUGCAAGCCGCGCGAGGACAGUGCUUGAUUUGCAGCACCGUCAGCCCUGCAGCUCCAGGACACGAGGGAGUUUUCAGGGCUGCCCUGCAAGUUCUCUGGCUGUCACCCAGUGACUUGAGCUGAGAGGCGACAGCCCUGACCUUGUCGUUUUUUCUCUGCGCCCAUGCCCAGGUGCCCUCAGGACUCGUCCCCUACCGCGGGCUUUAGCACCAUCGUUGCCUCCGUGACAGUUCAGGGCGGCAGCCACUCCCGCUCCCCAGGCGCGAGCUGCGGUGGGCCCGUCAUCCCAGUCGACCGCGGGUGAGAGCGGGACGAAUUGUGAGGCCCCUGCAGGCCAUGGGUGCCUCGAGCCCCGUUGGUCACUCGGGGGUCAGACAGCUAAGGGACAGAGAGAGUACAGGAAGAAGCAGCCACCCCUGGAGCCAGGGGGAGAAGGGAAGGGGCGCGUGUCCUCGGAAGCCUCGCAGCCAGGAUGAGGGGAGUUGAAGAGCAGAGCCCAGCCUCUCUGAGGACGGGCGGCUGCCCUUUCGCAGGGAAGGAGGAAGCGCCAUCCUCGGCUAAGAGGAAAUGGCCACGGCUCCGUCUUCCAGGGCAGGGCGCUGGUUCCUUCUUCAGUGAUACCUCUUUGUGUUUGGAUUCAUCUGUUGGGCUCUUGACUUCAAUGCCCUUGGUGCUGGGGGUCUUUCUCUUUUCCCUGUUAGGGCUGCCCUUGCGGUACCUGGAAGGUGCCAGGCUAGGGCUCAGAUCACAGCCGCACCUGCCGGCCUAUGCCUCAGCAAUGCAGGAUCCAAGCCACACCUGCCACCUCCCCUGCAGCUUGGGGCAACGCUGGGACCCUAACAGACGGAUCGAGGCCAGGGAUGGGACUCGCAUCCUCCUGGAUACUGUGUCGAGUUCUUAACCCGCUGAGCCACAGCGGGAACUCCCGCCCUCCCCCCCCUUUUCUUUUUACCGCUAAAGUGCCUUUUCCUUUUGAUUUUCUUCUUCUUUUUAUAGCCACACCCCUGGCAUGUGGAAGUUCCCAAGCCAGGGCUCGAACCUGAGCCACAGCGGUGACAACUCCGGAUCCUUAGCCUACUGUGCCACCAGGGAACUCCUAAAGUUCUUUUUCUUUUUCAAAUCUGCCUGGGCUUUUUUUUAAGUAGGCUUCUCUUUUUGAUCCCUUCUCUUAUAUAUUGAUUUGCAUGUGUCUUGGGGGCUGCUGAAGAUUUGGGGCGUUGGGGUAGCUGUCUGUCACACAGUAAUGCAAAGGCGUUGUAAGUAUCCACGAGAACUGCUUUUUGUUUGUUCAUUUGUUUGUUUUUUAGAGCCUGGGGUGUGGCAUAUGGAGUUCCCAGACUAGGGGUUGAAUCGGAGCUACAGCUGCCAGCCUAGGCCACAGCUAUAGCAACCCGGGAUCCGAACGGUGUCUGCAGCCUACACGACAGUUCACGGCAAGGCCGCGUCCCUGACCCACUGAGCGAGGCCAGGGAUCAAACCCGCGUCCUCAUGGAUACCCAUUGGAUUUGUUUCUGCUACGCCAUGAGAACUGCUUUCUGAUUCAAAAAUAAUGACUUUCGGGAGUUCCCGUCGUGGCGCAGUGGUUAACGAAUCCGACUAGGAACCAUGAGGUUGCGGGUUCGGUCCCUGCCCUUGCUCAGUGGGUUAACGAUCCGGCGUUGCCGUGAGCUGUGGUGUAGGUUGCAGGCGCGGCUCGGAUCCCGCGUUGCCUGUGGCUCUGGCGUAGGCCGGUGGCUACAGCUCCGAUUCGACCCCUAGCCUGGGAACCUCCAUAUGCCGCGGGAGCGGCCCAAGAAAUAGCAACAACAACAACAACAACAACAACAAAAAGACAAAAAAAAAAUAAUAAUGACUUUCCACCUAAGAUACAUAGCCAGGGAGUUCCCAUUGGGGUGGCUCAGCAGAAAGGAAUCCCACUAGUAUCGCUGAGGAGGUGGGUUCGAUCCCUGGCCUCCCUCAGGGGGUUAAGGCUCAGGUGUUGCCGAAGUCGCAGACGCGGCUUGGACCUGGCGUGGGUGUGGCUGUGGUGUAGGGUGGCAGCUACACCUCUGAUUCGACCCCUAGCCCGGGUACUUCCAUAUGCCGAGGGUGCGGCCCUAAAAAAUAAAAAAAAAAAAAAGUUGUAUAACCCAGAAAUCAAUUGAGAUUUUAAUAAACUUGG